RNAcentral lists this transfer-messenger RNA (354 nucleotides) under Candidatus Poribacteria bacterium. It matches the Rfam family "transfer-messenger RNA". From Rfam's summary of the family: Bacterial tmRNA, also known as 10Sa RNA or SsrA, is named for its dual tRNA and mRNA-like properties. Its role is to liberate the mRNA from a stalled ribosome. The record is from RNAcentral. Lineage: Bacteria; Candidatus Poribacteria.
GGGGGCGACAAGGUUUCGACGGGGGUAAUUGAGGCAAAGGUUGCAUGUCGAGGUGUCCGUUGGCCUCGUAAAACAGCGGAAAAAUAAUAAUUGCCGAUGAAGAAUUGGCUUUAGCCGCUUAGUACGGCUUCGUCCAUCCAAUCCUUUGCUCGCGAGGAUGGAAUGGGCGUCGAAAAGCGAGAUAUAUAGUUUAGCUUUGCUCAAGGGCUAAAUUAUGAAAUUUUACUUGAGAUAGCUUUCGAUGAAUCCUGCCUAUGGGAGUUUUCGAAGGCGAAUGAAGAACAUAGGACAAGCAUGUAGUAGCCUUUGUUGAAAUACUCUCGGACGCGAGUUCGAUUCUCGCCGCCUCCACCA